UUUUUUAAUUCUUUCUCAUGUUCUUAACUAUUUUAAUUUUAUUUUACGCACGUAUCUAUACUAUAUAUAAAAAUACGUACUUUAAAUAUCGAUCAGUCAAUUGACUCAUUUCAAAAAAAAAAAAUUUGUACACAAAUUUGGCCCCGUUUAGUUCGAAGAAUAAGCGGGAUAAUGAAAAUUAUCUUCGCUAUUUCACCAAACGGGAUGAAAUUUAGCCGAAAUAUUUUAUCCCGGUCAAAUUUUGUUAUUCCCGAUUAUUUUGGAAUAGCAAUGAAUAGCAAAGGAUUUGCUAUUCCACCAUUUUGAUGGAAUAGAGCUAUUCCAAUACUUAAUUUCAAACAUAAUUAAAAUUAUAAAUUACAUUAAAACUAAAUUAUAUAAAUAUUAUAUAUUAUAUAUUAUAAUACAUUAUUUUUAUUAUAAAACUAUUAAUUGUACUAUAUUAAUACAUAUUAUUUAUAUUUAAAUAUUAUAAUAAAUUCUUUUUAUUAAAUUUA
RNAcentral lists this long non-coding RNA (497 nucleotides) under Ananas comosus (pineapple). Its description in RNAcentral is "long non-coding RNA (ACOM_LNC006710)". Lineage: Eukaryota; Viridiplantae; Streptophyta; Magnoliopsida; Poales; Bromeliaceae. The record is from RNAcentral.